UUUUCAAUCCAUAUUUGUUUU
Molecule: non-coding RNA, 21 nt
Filed under: Caenorhabditis elegans
Lineage: Eukaryota; Metazoa; Nematoda; Chromadorea; Rhabditida; Rhabditidae
Source: RNAcentral